This 692-nucleotide ribosomal RNA is filed under the name Staphylococcus saccharolyticus. RNAcentral describes it as "partial 23S ribosomal RNA". It matches the Rfam family "Bacterial large subunit ribosomal RNA", at positions 1 to 690 of the family's 2925-position model. Lineage: Bacteria; Bacillati; Bacillota; Bacilli; Caryophanales; Staphylococcaceae. The record is from RNAcentral.
GAUUAAGUUAUUAAGGGCGCACGGUGGAUGCCUUGGCACUAGAAGCCGAUGAAGGACGUUACUAACGACGAUAUGCUUUGGGUAGCUGUAAGUAAGCGUUGAUCCAGAGAUUUCCGAAUGGGGGAACCCAACAUGAGUGAUGUCAUGUUAUUGACAUGUGAAUUCAUAGCAUGUCAGAAGGCAGACCCGGAGAACUGAAACAUCUUAGUACCCGGAGGAAAAGAAAGAAAAAUCGAUUCCCUGAGUAGCGGCGAGCGAAACGGGAAGAGCCCAAACCAACAAGCUUGCUUGUUGGGGUUGUAGGACACUCUAUACGGAGUUACAAAAGAACAUGUUAGACGAAUCAUCUGGAAAGAUGAAUCAAAGAAGGUAAUAAUCCUGUAGUCGAAAACGUAUUCUCUCUUGAGUGGAUCCUGAGUACGACGGAGCACGUGAAAUUCCGUCGGAAUCUGGGAGGACCAUCUCCUAAGGCUAAAUACUCUCUAGUGACCGAUAGUGAACCAGUACCGUGAGGGAAAGGUGAAAAGUACCCCGAAAGGGGAGUGAAAGAGAACUUGAAACCGUGUGCUUACAAGUAGUCAGAGCCCGUUAAUGGGUGAUGGCGUGCCUUUUGUAGAAUGAACCGGCGAGUUACGAUCUGAUGCAAGGUUAAGCAGCGAAUGUGGAGCCGUAGCGAAAGCGAGUCUGAAUAG